This 262-nucleotide ribosomal RNA is filed under the name uncultured bacterium. RNAcentral describes it as "partial 16S ribosomal RNA". It matches the Rfam family "Bacterial small subunit ribosomal RNA", at positions 793 to 1055 of the family's 1533-position model. The record is from RNAcentral.
GUCCACGCCGUAAACGAUGUCAACUAGCCGUUGGUCCUAUAUACAGGAUUAGUGGCGCAGCUAACGCAUUAAGUUGACCGCCUGGGAGUACGGCCGCAAGGUUAAACUCAAAUGAAUUGACGGGGGCCCGCACAAGCGGUGGAGCAUGUGGUUUAAUUCGAUGCAACGCGAAGAACCUUACCUACCCUUGACAUCCAGAGAAUCUGUUAGAGAUAGUAGAGUGCCUUCGGGAACUCUGAGACAGGUGCUGCAUGGCUGUCGU